GAUGAACGCUAGCUACAGGCUUAACACAUGCAAGUCGAGGGGCAGCAUGGUCUUAGCUUGCUAAGGCCGAUGGCGACCGGCGCACGGGUGAGUAACACGUAUCCAACCUGCCGUCUACUCUUGGACAGCCUUCUGAAAGGAAGAUUAAUACAAGAUGGCAUCAUGAGUCCGCAUGUUCACAUGAUUAAAGGUAUUCCGGUAGACGAUGGGGAUGCGUUCCAUUAGAUAGUAGGCGGGGUAACGGCCCACCUAGUCUUCGAUGGAUAGGGGUUCUGAGAGGAAGGUCCCCCACAUUGGAACUGAGACACGGUCCAAACUCCUACGGGAGGCAGCAGUGAGGAAUAUUGGUCAAUGGGCGAGAGCCUGAACCAGCCAAGUAGCGUGAAGGAUGACUGCCCUAUGGGUUGUAAACUUCUUUUAUAAAGGAAUAAAGUCGGGUAUGCAUACCCGUUUGCAUGUACUUUAUGAAUAAGGAUCGGCUAACUCCGUGCCAGCAGCCGCGGUAAUACGGAGGAUCCGAGCGUUAUCCGGAUUUAUUGGGUUUAAAGGGAGCGUAGAUGGAUGUUUAAGUCAGUUGUGAAAGUUUGCGGCUCAACCGUAAAAUUGCAGUUGAUACUGGAUAUCUUGAGUGCAGUUGAGGCAGGCGGAAUUCGUGGUGUAGCGGUGAAAUGCUUAGAUUUCACGAAGAACUCCGAUUGCGAAGGCAGCCUGCUAAGCUGCAACUGACAUUGAGGCUCGAAAGUGUGGGUAUCAAACAGGAUUAGAUACCCUGGUAGUCCACACGGUAAACGAUGAAUACUCGCUGUUUGCGAUAUACAGCAAGCGGCCAAGCGAAAGCGUUAAGUAUUCCACCUGGGGAGUACGCCGGCAACGGUGAAACUCAAAGGAAUUGACGGGGGCCCGCACAAGCGGAGGAACAUGUGGUUUAAUUCGAUGAUACGCGAGGAACCUUACCCGGGCUUAAAUUGCAGAUGAAUUACGGUGAAAGCCGUAAGCCGCAAGGCAUCUGUGAAGGUGCUGCAUGGUUGUCGUCAGCUCGUGCCGUGAGGUGUCGGCUUAAGUGCCAUAACGAGCGCAACCCUUGUUGUCAGUUACUAACAGGUUCCGCUGAGGACUCUGACAAGACUGCCAUCGUAAGAUGUGAGGAAGGUGGGGAUGACGUCAAAUCAGCACGGCCCUUACGUCCGGGGCUACACACGUGUUACAAUGGGGGGUACAGAGGGCCGCUACCACGCGAGUGGAUGCCAAUCCCAAAAACCUCUUUCAGUUCGGACUGGAGUCUGCAACCCGACUCCACGAAGCUGGAUUCGCUAGUAAUCGCGCAUCAGCCACGGCGCGGUGAAUACGUUCCCGGGCCU
This 1358-nucleotide ribosomal RNA is filed under the name uncultured bacterium. Its description in RNAcentral is "bacterial SSU rRNA". It matches the Rfam family "Bacterial small subunit ribosomal RNA", at positions 28 to 1381 of the family's 1533-position model. The record is from RNAcentral.